Molecule: ribosomal RNA, 253 nt
Filed under: uncultured bacterium
Lineage: Bacteria
Description: partial 16S ribosomal RNA
Rfam family: Bacterial small subunit ribosomal RNA
Source: RNAcentral
UACAGAGGGGGCCAGCGUUAUUCGGAAUUAUUGGGCGUAAAGGGCGCGUAGGCGGCUUUUCAAGUGACGGGUGAAAUCCCUCGGCUUAACCGAGGAACUGCCAGUCAGACUGGAAGGCUUGAGACCGGGAGAGGUGAGUGGAAUUCCCAGUGUAGCGGUGAAAUGCGUAGAUAUUGGGAGGAACACCAGUGGCGAAGGCGGCUCACUGGACCGGAACUGACGCUGAGGCGCGAAAGCGUGGGGAGCAAACAGG